This 836-nucleotide ribosomal RNA is filed under the name uncultured organism. RNAcentral's name for it is "bacterial SSU rRNA". It matches the Rfam family "Bacterial small subunit ribosomal RNA", at positions 56 to 885 of the family's 1533-position model. The record is from RNAcentral.
UGCAGUCGAACGGCAGCACGGGGGCAACCCUGGUGGCGAGUGGCGAACGGGUGAGUAAUAUAUCGGAACGUACCCGGAAAUGGGGGAUAACGUAGCGAAAGUUACGCUAAUACCGCAUAUGCCCUGAGGGGGAAAGCGGGGGAUUCGCAAGAACCUCGCGUUUUCGGAGCGGCCGAUAUCGGAUUAGCUAGUAGGUGAGGUAAAGGCUCACCUAGGCGACGAUCCGUAGCUGGUCUGAGAGGACGACCAGCCACACUGGAACUGAGACACGGUCCAGACUCCUACGGGAGGCAGCAGUGGGGAAUUUUGGACAAUGGGCGCAAGCCUGAUCCAGCCAUGCCGCGUGAGUGAAGAAGGCCUUCGGGUUGUAAAGCUCUUUCAGCCGGAAAGAAAACGCACGGGUUAAUAACCUGUGUGGAUGACGGUACCGGAAGAAGAAGCACCGGCUAACUACGUGCCAGCAGCCGCGGUAAUACGUAGGGUGCGAGCGUUAAUCGGAAUUACUGGGCGUAAAGCGUGCGCAGGCGGUUUUGUAAGACAGAUGUGAAAUCCCCGGGCUUAACCUGGGAACUGCAUUUGUGACUGCAAGGCUAGAGUACGGCAGAGGGGGGUAGAAUUCCACGUGUAGCAGUGAAAUGCGUAGAUAUGUGGAGGAAUACCGAUGGCGAAGGCAGCCCCCUGGGUCGAUACUGACGCUCAUGCACGAAAGCGUGGGGAGCAAACAGGAUUAGAUACCCUGGUAGUCCACGCCCUAAACGAUGUCAACUAGGUGUUGGGGGAGGAGACUUCCUUAGUACCGCAGCUAACGCGUGAAGUUGACCGCCUGGGGAGUACGG